This 8583-nucleotide long non-coding RNA is filed under the name Triticum aestivum (bread wheat). Its description in RNAcentral is "long non-coding RNA (TAES_LNC025683)". The record is from RNAcentral. Lineage: Eukaryota; Viridiplantae; Streptophyta; Magnoliopsida; Poales; Poaceae.
GGAUAAUUAAGCUACAGUGAUCCCACGCUAAUGAUGCCAUGUCACCUCAAUUACUGUUGCUAAUUGCGCGUUAGUUCAAAGCCGAUACAAAUUCCAAUUUUAAAAAAUGGCAACCAACAAGAGUUUUCAAAUAUUAAAACUAAAAUGUCCGGGUUGUGCCAAAUAUUGAAUAGGUAAUUAUGGUGGAAGAACCAAACUUUUAUAAAAUGUUUAAAUGUUCUAAAAUGCAUAAAACGUGGCAAGAACAAAUAUUUAAUUGCUUUUAAAAUAAUAAUCAAUUACAAAAUAAUUAGUUUUAGGUGCAAAGUUAAUUGAAGAAGUAGCAUAUUUAUUAAUACUAAUUUAGGUACAACUAAUGUAUUUUAUAAAAAUAAUGUAUUUAAAAUAUAAAAUUAAAACAGAAAAGAACAGAGAAUAAACAAAAUAUAAAAGGAAAGCAAACAAAAAUAAAAGAGAAAACCCCCCUCCCCCGCUGGACCCUGGCCCAGUUGGCCUCUAGGCCAACCAGGAGGCCCACCCCACUCCUCCUUAUCCCCCACUCCACCCGAAACCCUAACCGCACUACCCCACUACGCCCACCCCACUUGUCCCACUCCCCCUCCGCCCCCUCCACGAUCCAAAUCGGGAUCAGGGGCGCUCGACGCCGUCGCCGUCUCCCCGCGACGCCGCUCAGACCCGUCUACGCCGGACCGAUUCGUCCUCGACUCCUCCUUGCCGUGCUCUGCACCACCUUGCCACCCGGACCGCCCCUGCCGUCGUGGACCACGUCGGCCCGCCUCCCGUCUCCUCCCGCACGGCGCCUGCCCCCUGGACACAUACUGGAUCGGCGGCUCGACCCCGCGGCGCCCCAAGCCCCGACGUCGCGCCGUCGCCGCUCCCCGUCGUCUCCGUUCUCCUCCUCGCCCCCACUGCCCGUGCCCUACAACCACGGUGAGGCCCGGGGCCUCCCCCUCUCAUCCUCUCCAAAUUGUGUCGUCCGCCGCCCGCAUUCGCCGUGCACGCGCACCCUCGCGCGACCACGGCCGCACCCACAUCGCAGAGGCCGUGUGGUGGAGCCCGCGCUCCGGUCCGCAUUUGACACCACGCGCCCUGCCCUCUCCUUCCCUCGCGUCCGCUCGCGCCCGCAACCGCGCACCCUUGCUAGCUGCGGCCCGCGCGCACUGCCCCCUGGCCAGCACCGGCCUUCGCCAAGCCGCUCGCCCGCGGUGAAUGCAUUCCCCGCCGGCGCGCCCUCCACGGCUAGGGCCCUGGCGUCCCCCACCGGCGACCGCCCGCCUCGCCACGGCCUCGCCCUCCUCUGCACGCUCCAUCGCCCCUGCUCCCACUCCGCCACGUGCCGCCCUGCACACACCGCCGCCCCGCUCCGGCUUCCCUCGCCGCGCUCCGCCUCCCCACGCUGGCCGCUCGCUGCGGCCCGCAUCGCCGCACCGGCCACGGCCGCCGCCGCUAUGCUCACUAGCGCGCACGGCGCUCGCGCCCAUCGGGUGCCCAUGGCCUCGCCCGUUAGCCCACGCACCGCACCCGCUAUCGCCCCCUGUGCCAAUGACGAGGGGGCCCCGCCCCAGAACAUUUAUAAAAAAAGAGAAAGAAAGAUUAAAGAAAAUAAUAAAAAAUAAAAAAUAUUAAUUAAUUAAUUAGUUAAUUAAAUUAAUUAACUUAACUAAUCCUGAUUAGAUUAACGUAAUUACUAAUUAAUAUGUUUUAGUUAGUCUCAGUCAAUGACAAACGGACCCACUAGUCAGGUUGACCAAUCAACCCCUGUUGACUGUUGGCGUCAGCAUGACAUCAUGCUGAUGUCAUAAUUAAUUAAAUUCCAAAAAUUAAUAAAUUCUUUUGAAAAUCGUAUCUUUUAAUCUGUAACUCGGAUGGAAAAACUUUGUACAUGAAAGUCGCUCAGAAUGACGAGACGAAUCCGAAUAAGCAACCCAUCCGUCCGCCACGCAUCCCUAGCAUAGAAAACAUGCAACUUUCCCCCUCCAAUUCAUCUAUUCAAAAAUACGAAACCCCGGGGAUAUUUUCCCGGAUGUUUCCCCCCUUCGCUAGUACCACCUCAUACCGCGUUAGGGCACCCCUAGCACCAUGUAUUGUCAUGUUAUGCCUUGUGGUGCUUUGAUUGCACUCUUAUUUAUUGUGUUCCCCUCUGUUACUUCUUUCUGGUAGACCCUGAGACCGCUGCCGAUAACCCUGUUGUCGACUACGGUGUUGACGACCCUUCUUGCCAGAGCAACCAGGCAAGCCCCCCCUUGAUCACCAGAUAUCGCCUACUCUUCUCUAUACUGCUUACAUUAGAGUAGUGUAGCAUGUUACUGCUUUCCAUUAAUCCUAUCAUGAUGCAUAGCCUGUCAUUGUUACUACACUUGUUGAUACCUUACCUGCAAUCCUACAUGCCUAGUAUAGGUUGCUAGUACUUCAUCAGUGGCCCUACAUUCUUGUCCGUCUGCCAUGCUAUACUAUCGGGCCGUGAUCACUCGGGAGGUGAUCACGGAUAUAUACAUACAUAUAUACAUACUAUACAGGUGGUGACUAAAGUCGGGUCGGCUCGUUGAGUACCCUCAAGUGAUACUGAUGUGGGGGCUGAAGGGGAAGGUGGCUCCAUCUAGGUAGUUGUGGGCCUGAGUUCCCGACGGCCCCCAACUGUUACUUUGUGGCGGAGCGACAGGGCAGGUUGAGACCACCUAGGAGAGAGGUGGGCCUGGCCCUGGUCGACGUUCGCGGUUACUUCAAGAUAACACGCUUAACGAGAUCUGGGUAUUUGAUCUGAGUCUGGCUACUGGCCUAUACGCACUAACCAACUACGCGGGAACAAUUAUGGGCACUCUACAUCGUGGUAUCAGCCAAAGCCUUCGUGACGUCUGCGACUGAGCGGUGCACGCUGGGUUGGACCGCGUAACGCAACUUCCUUUGUAAUGGAGGUUGCUAGGUCUGCUCACCGGCCGCGUUCGCAACGUGCAGGUGUGCAAUGGGCGAUGGGCCUAGACCCCUGCGGCAUAGGCUUUAGACCGACGUGCUGACCUCUCUGUUGUGCCUAGGUAGGGUUGCGAUGUGUUGAUCUUUUGAGGCCGGGCAUGACCCAGGAAAGUGUGUCCGAACAAAGGGGAUCAGGCAUGUUGGGAAAUGUGGUGCACCCCUGCAGGGAAGUUAAUCUAUUCGAAUAGCCGUGAUCUUCGGUAACAGGACGACUUGGAGUUGUACCUUGACCUUAUGACAACUAGAACCGAAUACUUAAUAAAACACACCAUUCCAAGUGCCAGAUACAACCGGUGAUCGCUCUCUCACAGGGCGACGAGGGGAGGAUCAUCGGUUAGGAUUAUGCUACACGGUGCUACUUGGUGAACUUACCUUCUACUCUCUUCUACAUGCUGCAAGAUGGAGGUGGCCAGAAGUGUAGACUUCGAUAGGACUAGCUAUCCCCCCUUAUUCCGGCAUUCUGCAGUUCAGUCCACAUAUGAUACCCUUAUUCCAUUUGAUACCGAUGCAUACAUAUGUAGUGUAGCUCCUUGCUUGCGAGUACUUUGGAUGAGUACUCACGGUUGCUUUGCUUCCCCUUUUCCUCCUUUCUAUACCUGAUUGCUGCGACCAGACGAUGGAGCCCAGGAGCCAGACUCCACCGUCGACGACGACUCCAACUACACUGGAGGUGCCUACUACUACGUGCAGCCCGCUGAUGACGACCAGGAGUAGUUUAGGAGGAUCCCAGGCAGGAGGCCUGCGCCUCUUUCGAUCUGUAUCCCAGUUUGUGCUAGCCUUCUUAAGGCAAACUUGUUUAACUUAUGUAUGUACUCAGAUAUUGUUGCUACCGCUGACUCGUCUAUGAUUGAGCUGUUGUAUUCGAGCCUUCGAGGCCCCUGGCUUGUAAUAUGAUGCUUGUAUGACUUAUGUUAUUUGUAGAGUUGUGUUGUGAUAUCUUCCCGUGAGUCCCUGCUCUUGAUCAAACACGUUUGCGUGUAUGAUUAAUGUAUGAUUGAAUUGGGGGCGUCACAAGUUGGUAUCAGAGCCGACUGCCUGUAGGAAUCCCCCUUCCACACUCCAUGGCCGAAGUCGAGUCUAGACAUUGCAAAACUUUUUACUAACAUGGCUGUGUGUCUUACGGGCCCACGUCGCCAUUGGGUGGUAGUAGGAUAUUUUACUCCUCGAUCUUUACUCUGGGACUCUGAACUCUCUUCUAUUCGGGUUAAAUGAUUUUGCUAAAGUCUAACUUUAGGUUCUCGGAGAUACUUCCUCCCAGAGAGCCCCUUCAUUCCAGAUGAUGGCCUGCUUCACCACAAGAUUUCGAAGAUACUCUCCGUUAUUCUUUCGAGACCUUGUGCCCACCACUUUUGCUAUUCUCGACCACUGAUAAAUGCUUAUGGAUAACUGCUUACACUUGUCGUUCUUACCAUUGUUCCUAGAUGCCCCUGUUAUUACUUGAUACCCUGAAAAUUUCUUCGAUAAGUCAAGAACCCUUUGUGCCCACCGCUUUGCAGCUCUUUGCCGCAGAGAUACCCUUGUGGAUAAUUUCUCGCACUUAUCGAGUAUCCGCUCAUCCCCAGUUGAUUCAUGUGUUUCACAAUGGUCUUUGAAAUACUAUUCGAUCCUCCAAAAUUCCUCAGUAGCUUAUUGCUCUGCAAUACUUGUCUGCUUGCAUUAUGGAUGCUUUCCAUAUGUCUGGCAAUAUUCGUUAGUAUCCUUAGACACCGUCAUUUUGAUCCUAUUGAUUCAACAUGAGUGCAAAUGCAUGCAAUCAUCAGUUGAUCCUUUUAAAUUAUCUUUCUGGCUCAGACGUCAUUUUAAACUUGAGAUGGUUCUCGACCAGUUGGAUUGCCAUUGAUUGUACCCCUAAGGCUAUUCAACUUAUCCAUCCCUAAUCAGAGCAUUGCUUCUGAUCCCUUGUCUUGGAAUUCAUAAUUCCUUUGCAUUUGAGCUUUGAGUUAGUCAGUUGUUUCUAUAAUCCGAUGCGUAUGCAUUCCUUCUUCCUUUGAUAGAGUACCGAUACUCACAUCAGCUCCGUUGUAUACCACCGGACCUCUUGUUGGAUUAAUAUCCGACAGUGUCCUUCAUAUUCAAGUAACCUUGUGAGCCUUUCCAUGGAUAUAUAUAAAGCCUUUGGUAAAUUGUAUCCUCUGCUUUCACAACCAUGCUCUGUUUUCGAGCUGUUGGUAUUUACUAUUGAAGCUUGUGGUAUAUGUUUCCACGAUACCCUGACGGGUUGAACCUAUGCCUUCCUUAUUAAGUGUGAACUCGAAAGUUUUCACGAGUCAUACUCUUCUGGUAUUUUGCUAGAUUAAAUGUCUACACUACAGCUUCAUCAAAAGCGAGAAGUAAAAUGAAAAGUUAUGCAUGGGAGAAGUGGGAGUCGACCUUGAGCCCUUGCGUUCAUGCCCAUGGACCUGAUGUGAAACUUAUCAUCGAAGCUUCUUGUGAAUGAUAAUUAUCCCCUUGUUAUAAGUUCAUCUUGUAUCUGUGGACGUGGUUCUGACCAUGUUUCUCCUUGAUUCCAUUUCUCGUGCAAGUUUGAGCACUUGUCUUCUGCAGAGCAUUACACUAGUCCAACCUCUACUUUCAUCUAUUGUCGAGUAUUACCCCCCUGGUAUCUCGAGAUUAUCAUGGAACUGCAUAACCUCUUAUGAGUUCUUCAUCAGGUGCUACCUUCUCACCAAUUCCAAAUUUUCAUGGGCUCUGAGUUACUAAACACUCAAAGACACCGAUAACUGACUCAAGUCCGCAGCGCGAUUAAACAACUCUUGGUAACCUUCAUUACUUACGAGUUUGAACUCGAUCACGUCAUUCCUAGCCUGCUUGGCUAUAUCCUUGUCGUGCUGAUUUUAACUGUGCUACCUGGUCCUUCUUCCUGGAGCACAAUUUUUGAUGAUGAGCUAAGCUUACGUCGAUUUUCCUCAUCAUAUCAUUUCGCCUUGGACAACAAUCUUGAUUUCGAGUUUGUGUCAUACCAUUGGUUCCAUUAACUUUUCACUUCAUCAUUCCUUUAACUUGAUGUCAUCGCCGAUCUAUUAAAUCUUCGUGGAGCCUCUCAACAAAAUUUGUCAUGAUCAUCAUCAACAUCUUGACUCCUUCCUAGAUAUCAGUCGAUUUCCCGAUGAGAAAUACCAUCCUUACCCCUUGAUGAUUUGUAUUACCAUCGACAACACCCUUACCGUUCUUUCAUCACAAACUCGUUUUGUUAUGGAUGCAACCUGUUAUCCAUCUUGCAUUAUAUUCUACCUUGAAGUAUUACUGUCUUUUAUGUCAAGGAUGUUGUGAGACUUGCUCCACCUCAUAACAAUUCUUGAUACGGUGAUACUUAUCGUCGUAUCCCUUUGUUUCUUAGUCCGCGUGUUGAUUCUAGUCGGGAUGCAGUGAACAAUGCUGCUUGGAUUCUAAACUUCUAGCAACCCUAUUGCUUUGAAGUUGAUGGUCGAUAGUUCAUUCUUAGACUAUUGGUUGUUGAAUCAUCAUUCUAUCAUUGAUCAUGCUACCUAAGCCCAUAUCUCGGGUGCGCUUUUCAACCAAUGUUUAAUUGUGUAUGUUUUUUCUCUAGCAUACAUCAUUAUAUCAUUUGAUAUGACAAAUGUUAUCUCCUUGUUCACAUAAGUGUGGAAAUCCAUCUUUUGAAAAUCUCAAUGAAUUGUCGCUGAAUUAAUCGACCACCUCCUCUCCUCUCCUUGAUUUAAUGAUGAACUCUUGUUUCGGGACUUGCCUCCAUAGUUCAUUUCGCGAAAAUCAUAAAAUGCCAUCUCGUCAAUUUGUGUCGCACCUUUUCCUUCUCAGGCAUCCUGGGUCUGAGGUAUCCUGACACCAAUCAGAUCUAAAUCUCGGUCAGAUAUGAUGGUUGGAACAUAUUUCCAAGAGUUAUAAAUGUUGGUCUUGAUAUGGCCCGGUAAGGUAAUGUCAUGCCUAGCACACCUGGCCGAAUGAACUAGUUUCCUUUUUAGCAAGGUUAGCGAUUCUUCCAUGAGGAAAUCGUAAGACUUAUUCUAUAAGUUGUCCCUUAUGGAUCCUUUGUGUGUCAAAAAUCUGACCCUUACUUGAUGACCAUGUCAAUGCUAUCUCGAAGCAUGUCUGUGGUACUCCGAUUUUCAACAAAAACAUUUGAAGCCCAAUGCUAAAUGUUUCUUGCUCAAUUACCCCAAACACCGUUGUAUGGGUAAUGUCAUGAUAUUUCUCUCCCCUUUCCUAAAGGGUUUUCUACGUUAUAUCCUAUCCUGGAUAUCAUGCUCUGCUUGUCCUUGGGAAGGAUAUACCCCUGAAAUAUGUGUUUAAACACAUUUUUUCCUUUCGAUUGUUCUAUUUAAUCUGAUAAUCCUAUUUUCCUUUCCAUUGUUUGGUUUAAACUUUCUUGUGAUCUAUAUGAUCUAAGUAGUAAUACUCUCCUGCUUAUGUAAACACCUUGGUGUACAAUCCUGUCAGCAAGACCCUGUUACUAUUGUUGAUGACAUUCCGGUAGCCACCGAUGGACGAGAACUUUGCAUAUUGGUCCGCCUCGUUCAACGAGCAGGAAAAUGGUUCUCUUCGUCCCUCGCCCUUGGUACCGACGUUGUUGCCGACAUAACUGACAGGCUAUCCUCUGACACGCCUUGCUAUCAUGACCAUGCAAGAUGUCACCGCUCCUCCUACUUUUAACCCACAUGGUGGGCCCAUAACCCACAGGUCCUAGGAUCAAAACUUGACUCUCCUAUACAACCCCUAUUUCCAAAGUUAUUCCUCACGCUUGGCUACGUAUGUAAUUCACUAGCGACCUUCCGUGUGAUCAUCAAUUCUGGUAUUAAAUACAAUAAUUAUUCCCGUUGCUCUAAAACCCUUUCACACCUUGUUAUAGGCAACGAACGAUUGCCUAUUCACUUGAAUUUUUUAAUUGCGCCUUUUUACCUUACUCUCGAUAACUUUCUUGAAUUUCAACGCGAGAGAUAUUCACUAAGAUAGCCCCCAAGCACCUAACGUGUGUUGAGAUCCUUCCUUCCCGAGUCUUUCCCCCUUAUCUUUUCAUAAGUUCGAUGGAGAUCCUGAAGACAGGAUGACAACUUCAUCAUGAGGCAUCAAGGCAGAGAAAUGAAGAUGUCAAUGUAAUGGAUCGGCUUCUUCGAGAAGAGCAACCAAGACCGAAAAGACUCAAUAGAAUUUCGUAGCCAGAACUUUCCCCCUUACUUCACCUCCUAAAUCUCGGGACGAGAUUUCUUGUAGUAGAGGAGAAUUGUGAUGCCCGGAUAAUUAAGCUAUAGUAAUCCCACGCUAAUGGUGCCACGUCACCUCAAUUACUGUUAUUAAUCGCGCGUUAGUUCAAAACCGAUACAAAUUCCAAUUUAAAAAUGGCAACCAACAAGAGUUCUCAAAUAUUAAAACUAAAAUGUCCAGGUUGUGCCAAAUAAUGAAUAGGUAAUUAUGGUGGAAGAACCAAACUUUUAUAAAAUGUUUAAAUGUUCUAAAAUGCAUAAAACAUGGCAAGAACAAAUAUUUAAUUGCUUUUAAAAUAAUAAUCAAUUACAAACUAAUUAGUUUUAGGUGCAAAGUUAAUUGAAGAAGUAGCAUAUUUAUUAAUACUAAUUUAGGUACAACUAAUGUAUUUUAUAAAACUAAUGUAUUUAAAAUAUAAAAUUAAAACAGAAAAGAAUA